AACGAACGCUGGCGGCAUGCCUAACACAUGCAAGUCGAACGAGAACUUCGGGUCUAGUGGCGCACGGGUGCGUAACGCGUGGGAACCUGCACUUAUGUUUGGCAUAACUCUCAGAAUGGGGUGCUAAUACCGGAUAAUGUCUUCGAACCAAUGAUUUAUUGCCUUUGGUUGGUCCCUCGUUGGAUUAGCUUGUUCGUAGGGUAAUAGACUAACAAGGCGAGGAUUCAUAACUGGUUUGGGAGGCUGGUCAGCCACACUUGGACUGGGACACGGCCCAGACUCCUACGGGAUGCAGCAGUGGGGAAUAUUGGACAAUCGGCGGAAGCCUGAUCCAGCAAUGCCGCGUGAAUGAUGUAGGUAUUAGAGAUCUAAAGCUCAAGUACCCGGGAUGAUAAUGACAGUACCGGGAGAAUAAGCUCCGGCUAACUCCGUG
RNAcentral lists this ribosomal RNA (433 nucleotides) under uncultured bacterium. RNAcentral describes it as "partial 16S ribosomal RNA". It matches the Rfam family "Bacterial small subunit ribosomal RNA", at positions 29 to 507 of the family's 1533-position model. The record is from RNAcentral.